AAUUAAAUUAUGCAAUAGCAAAUCAGUUGAGUGAGUAAAUUAAAAAAUUUUAAAGUUCCCAAAUUUUGAAGAUUAAUUGCUAGACUUAAGGAUUCGCUCAGAGUUGAUUUUUAAGGAGAGAAAUCUGUGUGCCAGCACUAGCGGUAAAACAUAGCCCCAUUUUAUUCUUUCUUAGAUUUUGUUUAUAGGAUGGUUAACUUAGGGUUUAUUAAGUCUAAUUUUAAAUUCUUCAACUUUUUGACAUAGGAAGUAGGUGAACAGACUAGGAUUAGAUACCCUAUUAUUCCUAUUACUCAUAUUCUAAAGACUAACAAUGAUCUGUGGCGGCUAUCUUUCAAAUUAGAGAUCCAUGGACCUAAUGGACAGCCCACCCAAAUCUUCCUAUGUUUAGCUCUGCAUCUUUUAUAUCGCCGACUGAAAAAAAAAUCAUAAAUUUUUAUUUUGUCAGUUUCAUACUGAUAAGUCAGGUAAAGAUGAAGAUUAUAGCAUUGAAAGUUUGUGGAUCAAGAAUUUUCAGGAAUUAGAUAGUUGAGACGCUAUAAAAAUGAAUUUAAAAGUAAAGCUACUUAAUUAAAGUGACUUGAAAAUUGUUAAAGAGAGUGUACAUACCGCCCGUCACUUCCCCAUAGGAAUAAGUCGUAACAUGGUUAAUCUACUGGAAGGUGGAAUAUA
This 672-nucleotide non-coding RNA is filed under the name Liposcelis bostrychophila. The record is from RNAcentral. Lineage: Eukaryota; Metazoa; Arthropoda; Insecta; Psocodea; Liposcelididae.